Molecule: long non-coding RNA, 505 nt
Organism: Gallus gallus (chicken)
Lineage: Eukaryota; Metazoa; Chordata; Aves; Galliformes; Phasianidae
Source: Ensembl
CCUGGAUGGUACGUGUUACUCACUGAGUAAAGAGAGUUAUCUUUAUCAGUGUGUUACUUUCAUAUAUCUGUUGUGGGUAAAUCCAGCUCUAGAAGAGAGACUGAUUCAGAUACUUCAUUCAGGAAGUAAAUGUCACCCUAAUCUUCAAAAGGGCAAGAAAGAGGACCAAGGAAACUACAGGAGAGUCAGAAUGAAGUGGCAGAGAUACAUCAGCUCUCUUCUCAUCCUAAUUUCCUGAAUGACUGAACUCUGGGCUUGAACUCGAUUGAAGGAUGACCAACAAGCAAGAAUAAACAAUAAAAACUUAUGACUCCCUAAUUUCUGUAGCUAUCGAAAAAUAUCUCUAAGCCAGGAACUGAUUUAUCUUGCCGGUACAUAUCUCAAAAGACGUUCUGUCACAACACAGAUGUUUCAGGUCAUGACACACAGACCUUACACCUCCACAGAUUGUGUCCUUCUGCUAUUCCUCAGUAAAGUAAAGGUGAGAAAUUUUUGCACUGUUGGG